AUUGAACGCUGGCGGCAGGCCUAACACAUGCAAGUCGAGCAGAUGAAGGGAGCUUGCUCCUGGAUUCAGCGGCGGACGGGUGAGUAAUGCCUAGGAAUCUGCCUGGUAGUGGGGGAUAACGUCCGGAAACGGGCGCUAAUACCGCAUACGUCCUGAGGGAGAAAGUGGGGGAUCUUCGGACCUCACGCUAUCAGAUGAGCCUAGGUCGGAUUAGCUAGUUGGUGGGGUAAAGGCCUACCAAGGCGACGAUCCGUAACUGGUCUGAGAGGAUGAUCAGUCACACCGGAACUGAGACACGGUCCAGACUCCUACGGGAGGCAGCAGUGGGGAAUAUUGGACAAUGGGCGAAAGCCUGAUCCAGCCAUGCCGCGUGUGUGAAGAAGGUCUUCGGAUUGUAAAGCACUUUAAGUUGGGAGGAAGGGCAGUAAGUUAAUACCUUGCUGUUUUGACGUUACCAACAGAAUAAGCACCGGCUAACUUCGUG
RNAcentral lists this ribosomal RNA (484 nucleotides) under uncultured bacterium. RNAcentral describes it as "partial 16S ribosomal RNA". It matches the Rfam family "Bacterial small subunit ribosomal RNA", at positions 30 to 507 of the family's 1533-position model. The record is from RNAcentral.